RNAcentral lists this transfer RNA (73 nucleotides) under Trichonephila inaurata madagascariensis. It matches the Rfam family "tRNA". Rfam says of the family: Transfer RNA (tRNA) molecules are approximately 80 nucleotides in length. Their secondary structure includes four short double-helical elements and three loops (D, anti-codon, and T loops). Further hydrogen bonds mediate the characteristic L-shaped molecular structure. tRNAs have two regions of fundamental functional importance: the anti-codon, which is responsible for specific mRNA codon recognition, and the 3' end, to which the tRNAs corresponding amino acid is attached (by aminoacyl-tRNA synthetases). tRNAs cope with the degeneracy of the genetic code in two manners: having more than one tRNA (with a specific anti-codon) for a particular amino acid; and 'wobble' base-pairing, i.e. permitting non-standard base-pairing at the 3rd anti-codon position. Lineage: Eukaryota; Metazoa; Arthropoda; Arachnida; Araneae; Nephilidae. The record is from Rfam by way of RNAcentral.
AUCACUGUAGUGCAAUGGAUAGCGCGUUGGACUUCUAAUCCAAAGGUCGUGGGUUCGACUCCCACCGGGGAUG